GGAAUCUUCCACAAUGGGCGCAAGCCUGAUGGAGCAACACCGCGUGAGUGAAGAAGGGUUUCGGCUCGUAAAGCUCUGUUGUUAAAGAAGAACGUGGGUAAGAGUAACUGUUUACCCAGUGACGGUAUUUAACCAGAAAGCCACGGCUAACUACGUGCCAG
Molecule: ribosomal RNA, 161 nt
Filed under: uncultured bacterium
Lineage: Bacteria
Description: partial 16S ribosomal RNA
Rfam family: Bacterial small subunit ribosomal RNA
Source: RNAcentral